CUGAGAGGAUGAUCAGCCACACCGGGACUGAGACACGGCCCGGACUCCUACGGGAGGCAGCAGUGGGGAAUAUUGGACAAUGGGGGAAACCCUGAUCCAGCCAUGCCGCGUGUGUGAAGAAGGCCUUUUGGUUGUAAAGCACUUUAAGCAGUGAAGAAGACUCUUCGGUUAAUACCCGGAGACGAUGACAUUAGCUGCAGAAUAAGCACCGGCUAACUCUGUGCCAGCAGCCGCGGUAAUACAGAGGGUGCAAGCGUUAAUCGGAAUUACUGGGCGUAAAGGGAGCGUAGGUGGCUCUAUAAGUCAGAUGUGAAAUCCCCGGGCUUAACCUGGGAACUGCAUCUGAAACUGUAGAGCUAGAGUAUGUGAGAGGGAGGUAGAAUUUCAGGUGUAGCGGUGAAAUGCGUAGAGAUCUGAAGGAAUACCGAUGGCGAAGGCAGCCUCCUGGCAUAAUACUGACACUGAGGCUCGAAAGCGUGGGUAGCAAACAGGAUUAGAUACCCUGGUAGUCCACGCCGUAAACGAUGUCUACUAGUCGUUGGGUCCCUUGAGGACUUAGUGACGCAGCUAACGCAAUAAGUAGACCGCCUG
Molecule: ribosomal RNA, 591 nt
Filed under: Psychrobacter sp.
Lineage: Bacteria; Pseudomonadati; Pseudomonadota; Gammaproteobacteria; Moraxellales; Moraxellaceae
Description: bacterial SSU rRNA
Rfam family: Bacterial small subunit ribosomal RNA
Source: RNAcentral